ACAUUUGGAGUUAAACAAGACAUCUACAAGCUAUUUUCGCUUCAUCAGGCACUGCUAAUUAAGCACCGCUUAAUCAUUGUUGUCAUCUGGGGUCAAGCUGAGGCGGGGUGCGCUGGAAUCAGGUGCUACUGUCCUGCUGACAGUGAUGCAUUGCCACACUCAGAGGGUCAUGUCUCUGUAAACAUGCAUUAUCAAAACCCAAAGACAAAUGUGGGAGGCUGACCUGAGAGAGUGAGAGCAAGCUAGAGUAAGAAUGAGAGAGUAUAAGAAAGAGCAAAAAAAAUAAAUAAAAAAGUAAGAAAGAAAUAGAGACAGAGAGAGAAGAGCAGCAUCUGUUUGUCAGGGGGCAAUGCGGGCAGAGAUAGUUCUCUUGUUGCAAAUGAGGAGGGUCAAGCAAUCAAGCUGGGUUGGGCUUGUGUGUCAUUCCCAUUAUCUAACACUGUCUGAAAUGAUCAAUGAGCUAAAAUAAAAUGAUCACAAGCCAAAAUAGGCCUGCUAAUGAAAAUGGACUGUGUUUUAACAGAUUCCUUUCAGCGUCCCUCCAUGUCAGGAGAGCUGGAACACAGGCGUGAAGGGGAGUAAAAAAUAAAGCUGCCCACUAACAGCCCUAAUAACCCAUUUCUACAGAGGACACACAGGCCUUCCAUUCUCUAGAGAAGCAGGGUCAGUUAACCAUGCAGCUGACAGACUGACCAACCACCAAAGCUCAUUUCCUGUACCAGCAUUCAACACACUAGCAAUCUUGUCUGUUGCUUGUUUUACUUGUUUUAUUUUGUCCCCCCAAAUAAUUCAGA
Astyanax mexicanus (Mexican tetra) is the source of this 794-nucleotide long non-coding RNA. RefSeq lists it as uncharacterized. NCBI's taxonomy places the organism in Eukaryota, Metazoa, Chordata, Actinopteri, Characiformes, Acestrorhamphidae. The transcript is spliced from 3 exons. The record is from RefSeq and is a predicted model, not a curated record.